GAGGACGAUCAGCCACACUGGGACUGAGACACGGCCCAGACUCCUACGGGAGGCAGCAAUAGGGAAUCUUGCGCAAUGGGCGAAAGCCUGACGCAGCAACGCCGCGUGGGGGAUGAAUGCCUUCGGGUUGUAAACCCCUUUCAGCAGGGACGAAAAUGACGGUACCUGCAGAAGAAGCUCCGGCCAACUACGUGCCAGCAGCCGCGGUAAUACGUAGGGAGCGAGCGUCGUUCGGAAUUAUUGGGCGUAAAGAGCUCGUAGGCGGUUCAGUAAGUCGGGUGUGAAAACUCAAGGCUCAACCUUGAGACGCCACUCGAUACUGCUGUGACUUGAGUCCGGUAGAGGAGUGUGGAAUUCCUGGUGUAGCGGUGAAAUGCGCAGAUAUCAGGAGGAACACCAGCGGCGAAGGCGGCACUCUGGGCCGGUACUGACGCUGAGGAGCGAAAGCAUGGGGAGCAAACAGGAUUAGAUACCCUGGUAGUCCAUGCCGUAAACGUUGGGCACUAGGUAUGGGAUCAUAUCAACGGAUUCCGUGCCGUAGCUAACGCAUUAAGUGCCCCGCCUGGGGAGUACGG
RNAcentral lists this ribosomal RNA (575 nucleotides) under uncultured Actinomycetes bacterium. RNAcentral's name for it is "bacterial SSU rRNA". It matches the Rfam family "Bacterial small subunit ribosomal RNA", at positions 296 to 885 of the family's 1533-position model. Lineage: Bacteria; Bacillati; Actinomycetota; Actinomycetes. The record is from RNAcentral.